UACGGGGGGGCAAGCGUUGAUGGGAAUUACUGGGCGUAAAGGGCGCGUAGGGGGGUGGACAAGUCUCUCGUGAAAGCCCACGGCUCAACCGUGGAAUUGCGGGAGAUACUGUCUGUCUUGAGUCCGGGAGAGGAGGGUGGAAUUCCCAGUGUAGCGGUGAAAUGCGUAGAUAUUGGGAGGAACAACGGUGGCGAAGGCGGUUCUCUGGACCGGUACUGACGCUGGGGCUCGAAAGCUAGGGGAGCAAACGGG
RNAcentral lists this ribosomal RNA (252 nucleotides) under uncultured bacterium. RNAcentral describes it as "partial 16S ribosomal RNA". It matches the Rfam family "Bacterial small subunit ribosomal RNA", at positions 524 to 776 of the family's 1533-position model. The record is from RNAcentral.